CAUGUAGGCGGAUUAAUAAGUUUGAGGUGAAAUCCUAUAGCUUAACUAUAGAACUGCUUUGAAAACUGUUAAUCUAGAAUGUGGGAGAGGUAGAUGGAAUUUCUGGUGUAGGGUAAAAUCCGUAGAGAUCAGAAGGAAUACCGAUUGCGAAGGCGAUCUACUGGAACAUUAUUGACGCUGAGAUGCGAAAGCGUGGGGAGCAAACA
Molecule: ribosomal RNA, 206 nt
Filed under: uncultured bacterium
Lineage: Bacteria
Description: partial 16S ribosomal RNA
Rfam family: Bacterial small subunit ribosomal RNA
Source: RNAcentral